GGGGUGCUUCCAUCUGGAAGAAUCUGGAGACAGGUGCUGCAUGGCUGUCGUCAGCUCGUGUCGUGAGAUGUUGGGUUAAGUCCCGCAACGAGCGCAACCCUUGCCUUUAGUUGCCAGCAGUUCGGCUGGGCACUCUAAAGGGACUGCCGGUGUUAAACCGGAGGAAGGUGGGGAUGACGUCAAGUCCUCAUGGCCUUUAUGACCAGGGCUACACACGUACUACAAUGGCCGAUCAAAGGGCAGCGACACUGCGAGGUGAAGCCAAUCCCGUAAAAUCGGUACUCAGUCCGGAUUGGAGUCUGCAACUCGACUCCAUGAAGUUGGAAUCGCUAGUAAUCGUGGAUCAGCAUGCCACGGUGAAUACGUUCCCGGGCCUU
This 377-nucleotide ribosomal RNA is filed under the name uncultured Desulfobulbus sp. RNAcentral's name for it is "bacterial SSU rRNA". It matches the Rfam family "Bacterial small subunit ribosomal RNA", at positions 1008 to 1382 of the family's 1533-position model. Lineage: Bacteria; Pseudomonadati; Thermodesulfobacteriota; Desulfobulbia; Desulfobulbales; Desulfobulbaceae. The record is from RNAcentral.